This 571-nucleotide ribosomal RNA is filed under the name Tuber macrosporum. RNAcentral describes it as "eukaryotic LSU rRNA". It matches the Rfam family "Eukaryotic large subunit ribosomal RNA", at positions 56 to 643 of the family's 3401-position model. The record is from RNAcentral. Lineage: Eukaryota; Fungi; Ascomycota; Pezizomycetes; Pezizales; Tuberaceae.
GAAAAGAAACCAACAGGGAUUGCCUCAGUAACGGCGAGUGAAGCGGCAGAAGCUCAAAUUUGAAAUCUGGCGUCUGCGGCGCCCGAGUUGUACUUUGGAGAGGCAUCUUCCGGAGGGGCCCGGCCUAUGUGCCUUGGAACAGGACGUCACAGAGGGUGAGAAUCCCGUUCUCGGCCGGAUGUCCCCUCCGGCAUGCAGUGUCUUCUACGAGUCGAGUUGUUUGGGAAUGCAGCUCAAAAUGGGUGGUAAAUUUCAUCUAAAGCUAAAUAUUGGCGAGAGACCGAUAGCGCACAAGUAGAGUGAUCGAAAGAUGAAAAGCACUUUGAAAAUAGAGUCAAACAGUACGUGAAAUUGUUGAAAGGGAAGCGCUUGAGACCAGACUCGGCCUUUGACGAACAAUAGUCCUUCUGGGCUGUGCACUUGUCAUCGGCUGGGCCAGCAUCGGUUGGGACGGCGGGAUAAAGGUCCGGGGAAUGUGACUCCUUCCAGGAGUGUUAUAGCCCCGGGCGCCAUGCCGCCCGUCCCGACCGUGGACCGCGCUUCGGCUAGGAUGCUGGCGUAAUGGUCUUCA